RNAcentral lists this ribosomal RNA (253 nucleotides) under uncultured bacterium. RNAcentral's name for it is "partial 16S ribosomal RNA". It matches the Rfam family "Bacterial small subunit ribosomal RNA", at positions 524 to 776 of the family's 1533-position model. The record is from RNAcentral.
UACAGAGGUCCCGAGCGUUGUUCGGAUUCACUGGGCGUAAAGGGCGCGUAGGCGGCUCUGCACGUUCGUUGUGAAAUCGCCCGGCUCAACUGGGCGGGGUCAGCGGAUACGGCAGAGCUUGAGCAAGCUAGGGGGCAAUGGAAUUCCCGGUGUAGUGGUGGAAUGCGUAGAUAUCGGGAGGAACACCAGUGGCGAAGGCGGUUGCCUGGGGCUUUGCUGACGCUGAUGCGCGAAAGCGUGGGGAGCGAUCCGG